GACGAACGCUGGCGGCGUGCCUAAUACAUGCAAGUCGAACGCUGAAGGAGGAGCUUGCUUCUCCGGAUGAGUUGCGAACGGGUGAGUAACGCGUAGGUAACCUGCCUGGUAGCGGGGGAUAACUAUUGGAAACGAUAGCUAAUACCGCAUAACAGUAGAUGUUGCAUGACAUUUGCUUAAAAGGUGCAAUUGCAUCACUACCAGAUGGACCUGCGUUGUAUUAGCUAGUUGGUGAGGUAACGGCUCACUAAGGCGACGAUACAUAGCCGACCUGAGAGGGGGAUCGGCCACCCUGGGACUGAGACACGGCCCAGACGCCUACGGGAGGCAGCAGUAGGGAAGCUUCGGCAAUGGACGGAAGUCUGACCGAGCAACGCCGCGGGAGUGAAGAAGGGUUUCGGAUCGUAAAGCUCUGUUGUAAGAGAAGAACGAGUGUGAGAGUGGAAAGUUCACACUGUGACGGUAUCUGACCAGAAAGGGACGGCUAACUACGUG
This 495-nucleotide ribosomal RNA is filed under the name uncultured bacterium. RNAcentral describes it as "partial 16S ribosomal RNA". It matches the Rfam family "Bacterial small subunit ribosomal RNA", at positions 28 to 507 of the family's 1533-position model. The record is from RNAcentral.